AACGAACGCUGGCGGCAUGCCUAACACAUGCAAGUCGAACGAAGGCUUCGGCCUUAGUGGCGCACGGGUGAGUAACGCGUGGGAAACUGCCUAUUGGUGGGGAAUAACGACGGGAAACUGUCGCUAAUACCGCAUAAGCCCUUCGGGGGAAAGAUUUAUCGCCGAUAGAUGUGCCCGCGUCCGAUUAGCUAGUUGGUGUGGUAAUGGCUCACCAAGGCGACGAUCGGUAGCUGGUCUGAGAGGAUGAUCAGCCACACUGGGACUGAGACACGGCCCAGACUCCUACGGGAGGCAGCAGUGGGGAAUAUUGGACAAUGGGCGAAAGCCUGAUCCAGCAAUGCCGCGUGAGUGAUGACGGCCUUCGGGUUGUAAAUCUCUUUCAGCACCGACGAAGCGCAAGUGACGGUAGGUGCAGAAGAAGGACCGGCCAACUACGUGCCAGCCGCCGCGGUAA
Molecule: ribosomal RNA, 454 nt
Filed under: uncultured bacterium
Lineage: Bacteria
Description: partial 16S ribosomal RNA
Rfam family: Bacterial small subunit ribosomal RNA
Source: RNAcentral